GGGCCGAAGAACGACGGGAGGAGCUCGCGGCGCGCGGCGGCUUGCUCGGCUUUCAGUCUAGGGCAGCAGGAGGUUCUAGGGCACGGUUUUUACGGCGAAGAUAAAAAAACAACACACGGGGUUGUUGCUAGCAGCUUUAUAGGAUCAGAUACGCGCGGAAAGGAGAAACCCCGAGGAAACCGGGAUCGGAUCUCCUUCAGAUCGAGUCCGGAUUGAUUUCGUUCCGGGGAAGAAGAAAAGAGGAGGCUGACGGGUGGGGUCCGGCGGUCAGGGGCAGCAAGCAGAGAGGAGAGGCACGCUGUGGGCCUGGGCUGCGCGUGCGGGGUGAGGGGGGUUCGGCUGGGGUUUUUCCUGUUCCUUUUUUUAUUUUCUUUUCUGUUUUCUUUUCCAAAAUAAACCUUUUUCAAGUAAAAUUUUGAAUGCAAAUAAAUUCAAGCCUGAGGCAAACAAUACAAAAUGAGAUCUUCGGCAUGAAUGCAUAAACAAGUUUCUAAUCUUAUGUUAAAUUUUAAUUUUGACAAAAAAUAUUUUAUAUACUGGAUUAAAUGCUCACCAAAAAUGCUUAAUUAAAUCAAAUUAAUUCCUAUUGAUUGAAAACAAAUUUUUGGGUGUUACAUAGAUAAACACCAAAACUCGUAGAAUUCUUUCAGAUAAAACCCUCACUUUGGAUGUUGAUUUUAUUUGGAUCCUUUUGUUUGUUUAUUUGAUAAUUAAAUUUGAUACUUAAGGACCGUCAACAAACUCCCCCAAGCUUACCUCUUCCUCGUCCCUAAGCAAGGAUAGUCUCAGUGAUGGAUCAGAAGUUGUUGCAAUACCUUUAAAAAUUGACGGUACACAUGCUUUCUGAUAAGGUCUCUUCUCUGAGUUAGAGUAAACUGUCAAGACAUAAAACUUACUUACUCUACCUUUUACCAUGGGACUUGUAACCGUCACUUCCGUCUUGAGUAGUUAAAAGAUAGAACAGUCUAGUCAAGUGCCAUGUCUCUUAUCUUGAUCAACUAUAGCUCUGGAGUUUUUUGCAGAUUUUCGAAUAAAACUCAGAAAUUCCUUGUAUGACUCUCUUAGAUCUCACUUUUGUGGUAUUUCUAGAUCCUUACCAAGGCAGUAAUGGUACAGGCCUUCUCUCAAAAUAUGUAGUAUUUGUGGUAUAAGGCACAGUGACAUUGACUUCUCUCUCACCCUACUCUAAUAAGGCUUUAAUAUCUGGAGCUUAUAGGUGGGAGAUAAAGUAUACAUACUUACAAGACAUUUAUUGCAUAGUCAAACCAUGGAUCCAAAGUAACAAGUCAAUAAGUCAAAUCAAGAUGUGCAUGUGUGGCGAAUGAAUGGCGUAUGGUGAUGAUGGUGAUAACAAUGGUGAAAGACUAAUUCUACUUUUGCUCUUUGAGGGGAUACAUAUCUUCCUUGCUUUUUGAAACUUUUGAGGAGAAUGAGAUGCUCUUCUUUUUCUUUCCUCUCAGGUGGGUAUCUUGUACCCCUAAUUCUACUGUCGGACACUUGUCUAUUUUUACCUCUCGUCUCACUUUUUCUUUUCUUUCGAGGUUCCGGGCACUUGCCCCUUUUUAUUUCCUCGUAUCUAUUUUUCUUCUCUUUUUUUAGAGCACUCAUCUCUUGAGAUAAUAUAGCAAGUGGUAGUAACAAGAUAACUUGAGCAUUUAUUUCACAAGGGAAAAACAAAAAUAUUUUUGGUUAUUCUCUCCCGGAUUAGGAGUAGAAUAUUUUUGGGUGGUUCUGGAGAUGGAAAUGAGUGGAUAUAUCUGGAUGCGUACUUCCGGAAUAGAAGCAACAUGUGUGAGUGAACGUGCAAGUGAAUCUUGAUUUAACCACAUGACAAGCUCCUAAGGGUCUACACAGCUUGACCACACUCAAUGCUCAUAAGCAGUAAAUAGUAAAUGUGUGGCUCAAAAUCUAGCAAGCAUGUAUAUAUGGCUGUGGUAGGAAUUUAAACUCUCGUCAUACAGGAACUCAUCAUGUGUUAUUUUAAAGAUUUUCAAAGAUAAAAAUUCUCCAGAAUUCUAGCAUAUCUAGGAAUAGAUAAAUAGCAGCUCAUCCUUCCCAUAUCGUAUCCGUUAACAACUUAGACUUCAGAUCAAGUUUUCUUCUCACUAGUUUAGGUUUAGAGUAAGCUUUAAAUUAUAACAGUUAUGUCUAAACUUGAGAGAGAACUUUAAAUUUUAAAAAUUAGGCAGAGCAACUAUUCAUCAUAUCCAUGCUAGAGUUUUAUUUAGAUUUAGUUUAACAUAGCCACUUUAUUUAUUUAUUAAGCACACUAAGCAAAAGAUAUAUAUAUAAGCAUAAAAUCUUUAUUUGGUUUUCCAUAGUUAUGUAUAUUUAUAUUUUAAUAUAGUGUAAGUAUAAAGAUAGAUAAAAACACUUAGCAGGAUAAAUGGGGGUGCUCUCCCCCAAGCUGAAUUUUGACGUAAUUUCUUCUUGAUGUAGCUACUAGCAGGCGGCAGAGGUGUAUUUGAAAGUCGGUAGUAUCCUGACAACGAUUAGAAUGUCCUCUGUCUGCUAGUCUUCUUGAUUCUUAAAUUUUGUGGAGCUCAAAUAGACAACAAAGCUUUGUGGAACUGAUUAAGUGUUAGCAUAAAUAUCUAGCCUGUAUCAUGUUGAGCCUCCUCAAUAAAUGUUACUCUCUAUUUUUAUAUUUUCAUUUUUAUAAAGCAGAAAAAUAUUUAUUUUAUUUUUAUGCCACCACAGUGAAUGUACUUAUGUGUUUUAUGCCACUCGUAUACUCACAUGGGGCUUACUGUUUUUCACAUUUUUAUUUUCUUUUUAGGAUAGUAUGAACAUGAUUAACUAAGCAAACUAUUUUAAAUAUUUGAAAGGGAAAGAGAUAACUACCAAGUUUACCUCUUGGCAAGGCGUUCGGUGUUUUUAAGUCCUCCAAACGGGACUCUCCGUCUUCUCAACUGUCCUAGGAUUCGUUGGGUGGCGUGGUCGAUGCUUCCGGCAGCAACUCCUCUUCAUGUAUAGUUAUCUUCUCUCUCCACACCUGACUUGGUGCUACGGUCUCCUCUGGAUAAUUGCGAAUAUAAACAAGUAGAGCAAAGUCAUAAUUAAUAUAUUGAAGUAGAACAAAGUCAUAUUCAUAAUAUUGAAGAACAAAGAAGAACAAUUGAAGAACAAUAGAAAAUUACCAAGAAUCCUCUUGACAGAUCCGGAAACCAAUCGAAGAUUGACUCCUUCUAGUUCUAAUCCUAUGUAGCUAUGCUAAUCUAGAUGUCUAAUUGAUGUGGUGGCUCUAGGCUUGAUCAGAGGCUUUUUCUCCCAUGAUGAAUAAUGAAUUAGGGUUGAGAGGUCCCCUCCUCCAGGGGCCAGGGGGUCUAGUUAUAUAGUCCUUCCAAGUGAAUAUGGGCCGUCGGAUCAAACCGACAUUGAUUGAACGGUUAUCCUUGAUCCUUUAGGUCAGUGGAGCGUAAUCCCGAAAGAGAGUCCUGAUUGGACUCCAACACGGGGCGGGCGCCCUGGUCCCUAGGGCAGGCGCCCUGGGCCAGGCUCCGUUUGGCCUCCGCUUCGUUCCCGUGUCUUCUGGAGUCUUCUAGAUGUAAGAUAAUUGCACGGCACGUUAAUAUCUCUAUGUAAUCCCGACGUGUGGGCCUUUCUUCCAUAUUUCCUGAUAACCCCCUGCAGAAAUAGACAAACACCAAAACUCAUAGAAUUCUGUCAGAUAAAACCCUAAGUCUGGAUGUCUGUAGCAUUUGGAUCCUUUUCUUUGUUUAUUUGAUAAUUAAAUUUGAUAGUUAAGGACCGUCAACACUUACGACAUUGACUCCUCACACAUCUGUACUACCAAC
This 3797-nucleotide long non-coding RNA is filed under the name Sorghum bicolor (sorghum). RNAcentral describes it as "long non-coding RNA (SBIC_LNC001162)". Lineage: Eukaryota; Viridiplantae; Streptophyta; Magnoliopsida; Poales; Poaceae. The record is from RNAcentral.